UUAUGGCUCAGGAUGAACGCUAGCUACAGGCUUAACACAUGCAAGUCGAGGGGCAGCAUUGGGAUAGCUUGCUAUUCAGAUGGCGACCGGCGCACGGGUGAGUAACGCGUAUCCAACCUUCCUGCCAGUAGGGAACAGCCCGGCGAAAGUCGGAUUAAUGCCCUAUGUUCUUCAAUGCGGACAUCUAAGUUGAAGGAAAGAUUCAUCGCUGGCAGAUGGGGAUGCGUCCGAUUAGCUUGCCGGCGGGGUAACGGCCCACCGGGGCGACGAUCGGUAGGGGUUCUGAGAGGAAGGUCCCCCACACUGGUACUGAGACACGGACCAGACUCCUACGGGAGGCAGCAGUGAGGAAUAUUGGUCAAUGGGCGUAAGCCUGAACCAGCCAAGUAGCGUGCCAGGACGACGGCCCUACGGGUUGUAAACUGCUUUUAUGCGGGGAUAAAGUGCGGCACGUGUGCCGCUUUGCAGGUACCGCAUGAAUAAGGACCGGCUAAUUCCGUGCCAGCCGCCGC
Molecule: ribosomal RNA, 512 nt
Filed under: uncultured bacterium
Lineage: Bacteria
Description: bacterial SSU rRNA
Rfam family: Bacterial small subunit ribosomal RNA
Source: RNAcentral